RNAcentral lists this non-coding RNA (229 nucleotides) under [Clostridium] ultunense Esp. Its description in RNAcentral is "T-box". It matches the Rfam family "T-box leader". From Rfam's summary of the family: Uncharged tRNA acts as the effector for transcription antitermination of genes in the T-box leader family. T-boxes are found upstream of many aminoacyl-tRNA synthetase genes and some amino acid biosynthetic genes usually in Gram-positive bacteria. Lineage: Bacteria; Bacillati; Bacillota; Tissierellia; Tissierellales; Tepidimicrobiaceae. The record is from RNAcentral.
UAAAUAUUUAUGAAGCAAAAGAGUAAUUAUGAUGAGUACACCCUACAGAGAACUGGGUAAGGUGAGAGCCAGGUGGUAGAAAGCAUAAUGAAAAGAGUUGCUGAAAUGGAUAGGACAAAGCUUAUAGGUCAGUAUCUUAUCCCGCAUUCAAAGCGUUAUUUGAAUUGAGUUGUGUUUUACCAUUAAAACACAAUUAGAGUGGUACCGCGGGCAUAUACUCGUCUCUAUU